UACGUAGGGUGCAAGCGUUAAUCGGAAUUACUGGGCGUAAAGCGUGCGCAGGCGGUUUUGUAAGACAGGCGUGAAAUCCCCGGGCUUAACCUGGGAAUGGCGCUUGUGACUGCAAAGCUGGAGUGCGACAGAGGGGGAUGGAAUUCCGCGUGUAGCAGUGAAAUGCGUAGAUAUGCGGAGGAACACCGAUGGCGAAGGCAAUCCCCUGGGCCUGCACUGACGCUCAUGCACGAAAGCGUGGGGAGCAAACAGG
RNAcentral lists this ribosomal RNA (253 nucleotides) under uncultured bacterium. RNAcentral's name for it is "partial 16S ribosomal RNA". It matches the Rfam family "Bacterial small subunit ribosomal RNA", at positions 524 to 776 of the family's 1533-position model. The record is from RNAcentral.